Molecule: ribosomal RNA, 112 nt
Filed under: Aeromonas caviae
Lineage: Bacteria; Pseudomonadati; Pseudomonadota; Gammaproteobacteria; Aeromonadales; Aeromonadaceae
Description: partial 23S ribosomal RNA
Rfam family: Bacterial large subunit ribosomal RNA
Source: RNAcentral
GUUGUAUGGUUAAGUGACUAAGCGUACAUGGUGGAUGCCUUGGCAGUCAGAGGCGAUGAAGGACGUACUAACCUGCGAUAAGCCGUGAGCAGUCGGUAAGAGACAUUACGAC